This 163-nucleotide ribosomal RNA is filed under the name Entoplocamia aristulata. Its description in RNAcentral is "5.8S ribosomal RNA". It matches the Rfam family "5.8S ribosomal RNA". From Rfam's summary of the family: 5.8S ribosomal RNA (5.8S rRNA) is a component of the large subunit of the eukaryotic ribosome. It is transcribed by RNA polymerase I as part of the 45S precursor that also contains 18S and 28S rRNA. Lineage: Eukaryota; Viridiplantae; Streptophyta; Magnoliopsida; Poales; Poaceae. The record is from RNAcentral.
CACACGACUCUCGGCAACGGAUAUCUCGGCUCUCGCAUCGAUGAAGAACGUAGCAAAAUGCGAUACCUGGUGUGAAUUGCAGAAUCCCGCGAACCAUCGAGUUUUUGAACGCAAGUUGCGCCCGAGGCCUUCUGGCCGAGGGCACGCCUGCCUGGGCGUCACG